Molecule: long non-coding RNA, 556 nt
Filed under: Canis lupus dingo (dingo)
Lineage: Eukaryota; Metazoa; Chordata; Mammalia; Carnivora; Canidae
Description: lncRNA (ENSCAFG00020005160.1)
Source: RNAcentral
CGUGGAGCUGUCAGAAGUGCCAUGAUCUGGAAGAGUCCAUCUGAAAGAAGGUUUGAAGUCUACUUGUGGCUCAAAUGGUUUUGAAGUAAGAUUGGACUUGUCUUCCUGUUCUGCUCCCCUUGUAUGCUGGUUGGAUGUGGAGGCUCUAGUAGAGAACAUCAAGGGCUUAGAAGAAGAUGGGAGGAGACUGGAAUCCAGAAAUACCCCUGGGAGGCUGCCUGCCAAACAACUUACUGGACCAUGGAGAGUGCUGACAUCAGCCAGGAUUUUGAAGUAUGUGAAUUCCAGUCUCCUUGUUGGUUGGGAGAAGAUGACCUUGAAAGAGCACUGGAAACAGAAAGGAAAGCUACCUUGCCUUGCUCCUUAAAUCAAUUCUCAGAGAACAGUGCUGGCCUCUCCACUGCCAUACAGCAUUCUUUAGUUUUAGGAUCUCUAAUUGGCUUCCAUCACUCCCAAGUCCUUCCAGUUUGAAAAACACUUGAAUUGAUUGCUUUUUGGAGAUCUCUUCCAGAUUUGUCUUAUGGGCGGUCUUGUGGUUUAGUUAUUUAUAUCACAG